UCACGCCAAAACGCAUAAUACAUUAUGUUAGUUGGAAGUUAUUUGGUGAAUCUCUAUGUGUAUAUAAGAAAUGUUUGUCUUAUGGAAAGAGACGAAAAGAAAAUUGCAGUAAGAGUAUUCUUAAGUCUUUGGGACCUGACACUCCGACUAAUCUGUGACUGUCUCGUGUAGCUGAUUUCAACGCGAGUCCUAGCAAAAAGGUUUCCAUUAACCAAAACCUAUUCAAAAGGUAUCCUCUUUCUUCUUAGCUACUUCUGGAGUGAUGACUUUCAAUGUGUUUGCAGGUUUUUCUAAUAUCAAUUGCAGCCUGAAUCGUGUGGUUAUAUUUAAUCCAAAUUGAAAUUUGUCUCAUCACUUGCAAGCCAAGAUAGGCCAUUUUGGUAUGGGCAGAAACAUCAUGUGGUGGUAUUUCGUUUGUUGGCUGAUGGUUCCCUUGAUGAACUAUUUUAUACAAAACAAGUACGCAAACAACAAUUUCAGAACAUUUCAGCUGAAAGGAAGAUGGAUACGAGGUACUUUGAAUGUGGCCAGGUAACAUAAAAAUAUACUAUUUAAAUUGGGUUAGUUUCACUGAAGAUGCUCUCCCUUCAAAUAUUCUGGUUCGUCUUAUGAUCAGGAUUGAAAAGAGAUUCAAGGCGAGUAAUUUGAAAUUUCAAAUCUUAUCUCUUUGAUAAGCUCUUCACUAGCGAGAUUAUAGAAUUGUGUAAGGAUAGUAGCAUUCAUGAGGAUUAGAUUUGAGAUAUGUGUUUCAGAUGAUGAUGAAGAAUUUGUGUGCUCAUGUGAAAUGGAAACAAAUGAACGUAUCCUUGGAGACUUGUCUAAGAAUAAGUCUGAUCUGUACGUUUCUCUGCUUGAAUAUAUUUCAUGGUUUAGUCUUAUAAAUCCUUGCUCAGGCUUAUGUGACUAUGAUGAGGCAAUGAAGAUAUCAUCAACGGUGGAAGGACAUAAACAACAACAUCUCAGAGUAUCAAUGGAGAGAGUAACAUCAAUGAGAACUUACAGUGUGCGGAUCAAAAGAAAAACAAGAACGUAAAAGGUCGUAGUGAAGAGGAGGGUAUGUCUUUUUCCAAACAGGGAACAAAAAAGAGAAAAGUAAGCCGAGUUUAAAGGCAUGGAGAUAUUCGAGUUUUGUAGAUGGGUAUUGCAGCUUCUCCAUAUGACAGAGAAGCUACUUCAAGAAUUUUCUGAUAAGAGUCGAGUGAAAGGUUUGGAUGUUGAUGCCCUUUACAUUUACACGUCCAAGUGUACCAAGCAGCAAAACAGAGACGGAGGACAUAUCAUUCUCAUGGAAAUCAAUCGUAUGUUCUUCUUUAUGCCACAUUGAGUUGAUUUUGUCUAGAAAACGAAGAGCUUGUGGAGAAAGAGCCUGAGAGUCAUUUGGCAGCCAAGUCAAAGAAAGGAACUUUUUCUUGAGCAUGUAGACAGUAAUUUUCGUGGUCAUUUGUGUUACAAAGGCUUUACACAGGUGAUUCAUCUGGGGGAAGAUGUAAAUCGAUGUUCGUUUUGUGCAUUAUAAUGCUACAUCCACAUGGAUCACCCAGCUGAAUUUUUAAAAACUCAUCUCAGAUUCUCACUCAAAUGAAGGUGAAUCUUGAUGGUGCAUCUGGAUGCAGAUGCAUCUAAUUCAGUCCUAAAUGAUAAAUGACAAAAAUGACGUUUUAAAAUCAAAAUAUUA
Brassica napus (rape) is the source of this 1675-nucleotide long non-coding RNA. RefSeq lists it as uncharacterized. Lineage: Eukaryota; Viridiplantae; Streptophyta; Magnoliopsida; Brassicales; Brassicaceae. The record is from RefSeq and is a predicted model, not a curated record. The transcript has 2 exons.